Molecule: long non-coding RNA, 1027 nt
Organism: Lepus europaeus (European hare)
Lineage: Eukaryota; Metazoa; Chordata; Mammalia; Lagomorpha; Leporidae
Exons: 4
Source: RefSeq, a predicted model, not a curated record
GGCCACGCCCCCUCGGCGCCCCGCUGCCCGGGUCGGAGGCUCCCACCCGCGGCAAUCAAUUACACAUCCCCAACGCUGGCCGGCCCGGAGGAAAUUGAUAUGCCCAGCACAAACCAAUGUGAAAAUGGAAUCUCAUUUGCCAAAUGUCUCUCUCCCGGUACAGCACGGAACACCGUGAUGGCUGGGGUGUCAUCAGCGGUGCUGAUGAAUGUUGGUCCUCACGGCUUCAGAAAGCCCCUGGCAGAGACGAGAGCCGGAUUCCCGCUCUGUAUCCCAGGCUUCUGCAAUGCCGGCUUUCUGAGACCUGCCCGUUUUCCCUCCUGGAGGGGUUUCCCACUUGUGUUUGCUCUGCGCUGUCCUGCAGUGCGGCUCAGGGUAAAUAAAUGGCCGCCCUGCCCUGCCCUGCUUCUGCCUUGGACUCCCGGGCGUGUGACCUCACAGCAGCCAGUCUUCCCCAGGUCUGGGGUUACCCCCCCCCCCGGGGGUGGGGCAAGGAGAUGAGUCCUGAGCGCCUGGCGUGGUGUUGGUGGGGUGCAGUGAUAGGGCUGUGGGGGCCCCCAGACCUCACGACCCACGUUUGCACCCCCACCACCCAUGGCAUCCAGCGGGAACUGGGUGAGCAAGGGGCAGGCUCAGGCUCUGCCUGUGUCCCGCUGCUCAUGUCUUUUCCUACAGAUGUUUCUGUGCGGCGGCUCCCUGCCUCCCUAGAAGGGGAGCCCCCAAAAGCAAACUGGGUGUGGGCUCCCCGCCGCACCCCCCACACCCACCUCUGCUCAGCACAUCCUUGGCGCCUUCGUGAACGAAUGCAUGGGGUCCCGGCUGCUCCACUUCCGAUCCAGCUCUCUGCUAUGGCCUGGGAAAGCAGUAGAGGAUGGCCCAAGUCCUUGGGCCCCUGCACCUACGUGGGAGACCGAAGGAAGCUCCUGGCUCCUGGCUUUGAAUUGGCGCAGCUUCAGCCAUUGCAGCCAUUUGGGGAGUGAACCAGCGGAAGGAAGACCUCUCUCUCUGCCUCUGCCUCUCAAAUAUA